GCACCCGUAGCUCAACUGGAUAGAGUACCUGACUACGAAUCAGGCGGUUAGAGGUUCGAAUCCUCUCGGGUGUACAA
RNAcentral lists this transfer RNA (77 nucleotides) under Balneola sp. RNAcentral's name for it is "tRNA-Arg". It matches the Rfam family "tRNA". Rfam says of the family: Transfer RNA (tRNA) molecules are approximately 80 nucleotides in length. Their secondary structure includes four short double-helical elements and three loops (D, anti-codon, and T loops). Further hydrogen bonds mediate the characteristic L-shaped molecular structure. tRNAs have two regions of fundamental functional importance: the anti-codon, which is responsible for specific mRNA codon recognition, and the 3' end, to which the tRNAs corresponding amino acid is attached (by aminoacyl-tRNA synthetases). tRNAs cope with the degeneracy of the genetic code in two manners: having more than one tRNA (with a specific anti-codon) for a particular amino acid; and 'wobble' base-pairing, i.e. permitting non-standard base-pairing at the 3rd anti-codon position. The record is from RNAcentral. RNAcentral also lists the same sequence under 1 other name. Lineage: Bacteria; Pseudomonadati; Balneolota; Balneolia; Balneolales; Balneolaceae.